This 483-nucleotide ribosomal RNA is filed under the name uncultured bacterium. RNAcentral describes it as "bacterial SSU rRNA". It matches the Rfam family "Bacterial small subunit ribosomal RNA", at positions 328 to 802 of the family's 1533-position model. The record is from RNAcentral.
AUGAAACACUCCUACGGGAGGCAGCAGUGGGGAAUAUUGGACAAUGGGCGAAAGCCUGAUCCAGCCAUGCCGCGUGUGUGAAGAAGGUCUUCGGAUUGUAAAGCACUUUAAGUUGGGAGGAAGGGCAGUAAGUUAAUACCUUGCUGUUUUGACGUUACCGACAGAAUAAGCACCGGCUAACUCUGUGCCAGCAGCCGCGGUAAUACAGAGGGUGCAAGCGUUAAUCGGAAUUACUGGGCGUAAAGCGCGCGUAGGUGGUUUGUUAAGUUGGAUGUGAAAGCCCCGGGCUCAACCUGGGAACUGCAUCCAAAACUGGCAAGCUAGAGUACGGUAGAGGGUGGUGGAAUUUCCUGUGUAGCGGUGAAAUGCGUAGAUAUAGGAAGGAACACCAGUGGCGAAGGCGACCACCUGGACUGAUACUGACACUGAGGUGCGAAAGCGUGGGGAGCAAACAGGAUUAGAAACCCGUGUAGUCCGAAGUUC